Molecule: ribosomal RNA, 2933 nt
Filed under: Escherichia coli
Lineage: Bacteria; Pseudomonadati; Pseudomonadota; Gammaproteobacteria; Enterobacterales; Enterobacteriaceae
Description: bacterial LSU rRNA
Rfam family: Bacterial large subunit ribosomal RNA
Source: RNAcentral
GGGUUGUGAGGUUAAGCGACUAAGCGUACACGGUGGAUGCCCUGGCAGUCAGAGGCGAUGAAGGACGUGCUAAUCUGCGAUAAGCGUCGGUAAGGUGAUAUGAACCGUUAUAACCGGCGAUUUCCGAAUGGGGAAACCCAGUGUGAUUCGUCACACUAUCAUUAACUGAAUCCAUAGGUUAAUGAGGCGAACCGGGGGAACUGAAACAUCUAAGUACCCCGAGGAAAAGAAAUCAACCGAGAUUCCCCCAGUAGCGGCGAGCGAACGGGGAGCAGCCCAGAGCCUGAAUCAGUGUGUGUGUUAGUGGAAGCGUCUGGAAAGGCGCGCGAUACAGGGUGACAGCCCCGUACACAAAAAUGCACAUGCUGUGAGCUCGAUGAGUAGGGCGGGACACGUGGUAUCCUGUCUGAAUAUGGGGGGACCAUCCUCCAAGGCUAAAUACUCCUGACUGACCGAUAGUGAACCAGUACCGUGAGGGAAAGGCGAAAAGAACCCCGGCGAGGGGAGUGAAAAAGAACCUGAAACCGUGUACGUACAAGCAGUGGGAGCACAGAGCAAUCUGUGUGACUGCGUACCUUUUGUAUAAUGGGUCAGCGACUUAUAUUCUGUAGCAAGGUUAACCGAAUAGGGGAGCCGAAGGGAAACCGAGUCUUAACUGGGCGUUAAGUUGCAGGGUAUAGACCCGAAACCCGGUGAUCUAGCCAUGGGCAGGUUGAAGGUUGGGUAACACUAACUGGAGGACCGAACCGACUAAUGUUGAAAAAUUAGCGGAUGACUUGUGGCUGGGGGUGAAAGGCCAAUCAAACCGGGAGAUAGCUGGUUCUCCCCGAAAGCUAUUUAGGUAGCGCCUCGUGAAUUCAUCUCCGGGGGUAGAGCACUGUUUCGGCAAGGGGGUCAUCCCGACUUACCAACCCGAUGCAAACUGCGAAUACCGGAGAAUGUUAUCACGGGAGACACACGGCGGGUGCUAACGUCCGUCGUGAAGAGGGAAACAACCCAGACCGCCAGCUAAGGUCCCAAAGUCAUGGUUAAGUGGGAAACGAUGUGGGAAGGCCCAGACAGCCAGGAUGUUGGCUUAGAAGCAGCCAUCAUUUAAAGAAAGCGUAAUAGCUCACUGGUCGAGUCGGCCUGCGCGGAAGAUGUAACGGGGCUAAACCAUGCACCGAAGCUGCGGCAGCGACGCUGAUGCGUUGUUGGGUAGGGGAGCGUUCUGUAAGCCUGCGAAGGUGUGCUGUGAGGCAUGCUGGAGGUAUCAGAAGUGCGAAUGCUGACAUAAGUAACGAUAAAGCGGGUGAAAAGCCCGCUCGCCGGAAGACCAAGGGUUCCUGUCCAACGUUAAUCGGGGCAGGGUGAGUCGACCCCUAAGGCGAGGCCGAAAGGCGUAGUCGAUGGGAAACAGGUUAAUAUUCCUGUACUUGGUGUUACUGCGAAGGGGGGACGGAGAAGGCUAUGUUGGCCGGGCGACGGUUGUCCCGGUUUAAGCGUGUAGGCUGGUUUUCCAGGCAAAUCCGGAAAAUCAAGGCUGAGGCGUGAUGACGAGGCACUACGGUGCUGAAGCAACAAAUGCCCUGCUUCCAGGAAAAGCCUCUAAGCAUCAGGUAACAUCAAAUCGUACCCCAAACCGACACAGGUGGUCAGGUAGAGAAUACCAAGGCGCUUGAGAGAACUCGGGUGAAGGAACUAGGCAAAAUGGUGCCGUAACUUCGGGAGAAGGCACGCUGAUAUGUAGGUGAAGCGACUUGCUCGUGGAGCUGAAAUCAGUCGAAGAUACCAGCUGGCUGCAACUGUUUAUUAAAAACACAGCACUGUGCAAACACGAAAGUGGACGUAUACGGUGUGACGCCUGCCCGGUGCCGGAAGGUUAAUUGAUGGGGUCAGCGCAAGCGAAGCUCUUGAUCGAAGCCCCGGUAAACGGCGGCCGUAACUAUAACGGUCCUAAGGUAGCGAAAUUCCUUGUCGGGUAAGUUCCGACCUGCACGAAUGGCGUAAUGAUGGCCAGGCUGUCUCCACCCGAGACUCAGUGAAAUUGAACUCGCUGUGAAGAUGCAGUGUACCCGCGGCAAGACGGAAAGACCCCGUGAACCUUUACUAUAGCUUGACACUGAACAUUGAGCCUUGAUGUGUAGGAUAGGUGGGAGGCUUUGAAGUGUGGACGCCAGUCUGCAUGGAGCCGACCUUGAAAUACCACCCUUUAAUGUUUGAUGUUCUAACGUUGACCCGUAAUCCGGGUUGCGGACAGUGUCUGGUGGGUAGUUUGACUGGGGCGGUCUCCUCCUAAAGAGUAACGGAGGAGCACGAAGGUUGGCUAAUCCUGGUCGGACAUCAGGAGGUUAGUGCAAUGGCAUAAGCCAGCUUGACUGCGAGCGUGACGGCGCGAGCAGGUGCGAAAGCAGGUCAUAGUGAUCCGGUGGUUCUGAAUGGAAGGGCCAUCGCUCAACGGAUAAAAGGUACUCCGGGGAUAACAGGCUGAUACCGCCCAAGAGUUCAUAUCGACGGCGGUGUUUGGCACCUCGAUGUCGGCUCAUCACAUCCUGGGGCUGAAGUAGGUCCCAAGGGUAUGGCUGUUCGCCAUUUAAAGUGGUACGCGAGCUGGGUUUAGAACGUCGUGAGACAGUUCGGUCCCUAUCUGCCGUGGGCGCUGGAGAACUGAGGGGGGCUGCUCCUAGUACGAGAGGACCGGAGUGGACGCAUCACUGGUGUUCGGGUUGUCAUGCCAAUGGCACUGCCCGGUAGCUAAAUGCGGAAGAGAUAAGUGCUGAAAGCAUCUAAGCACGAAACUUGCCCCGAGAUGAGUUCUCCCUGACUCCUUGAGAGUCCUGAAGGAACGUUGAAGACGACGACGUUGAUAGGCCGGGUGUGUAAGCGCAGCGAUGCGUUGAGCUAACCGGUACUAAUGAACCGUGAGGCUUAACCUUACAACGCCGAAGGUGUUU